UGGGGAAUAGCCAAGUUGGUAAGGCAUCGGAUUUUGAUUCCGUGCACCGUAGGUUCGAGUCCUACUUCCCCAGCCA
Molecule: transfer RNA, 76 nt
Filed under: Bacteroidales bacterium
Lineage: Bacteria; Pseudomonadati; Bacteroidota; Bacteroidia; Bacteroidales
Also listed under: 1 other name
Description: tRNA-Gln
Rfam family: tRNA
About the family: Transfer RNA (tRNA) molecules are approximately 80 nucleotides in length. Their secondary structure includes four short double-helical elements and three loops (D, anti-codon, and T loops). Further hydrogen bonds mediate the characteristic L-shaped molecular structure. tRNAs have two regions of fundamental functional importance: the anti-codon, which is responsible for specific mRNA codon recognition, and the 3' end, to which the tRNAs corresponding amino acid is attached (by aminoacyl-tRNA synthetases). tRNAs cope with the degeneracy of the genetic code in two manners: having more than one tRNA (with a specific anti-codon) for a particular amino acid; and 'wobble' base-pairing, i.e. permitting non-standard base-pairing at the 3rd anti-codon position.
Source: RNAcentral